AUGAACGCUAGCGGCAGGCUUAAUACAUGCAAGUUGAACGGCAGCGGGUUGUAGCAAUACAAUGCCGGCGAGUGGCGCACGGGUGCGUAACACGUAUGCAACCUACCCUAUACUGGGGCAUAACCUUUAGAAAUGAGGGCUAAUACUCCAUGUAAUUAUGAUAAGGCAUCUUUUUAUAAUUAAAGAUUUAUCGGUAUAGGAUGGGCAUGCGUCCCAUUAGUUAGUUGGUAAGGUAACGGCUUACCAAGACUAUGAUGGGUAGGGG
RNAcentral lists this ribosomal RNA (265 nucleotides) under uncultured bacterium. RNAcentral's name for it is "partial 16S ribosomal RNA". It matches the Rfam family "Bacterial small subunit ribosomal RNA", at positions 29 to 289 of the family's 1533-position model. The record is from RNAcentral.